UACGUAGGGGGCAAGCGUUGUCCGGAAUCAUUGGGCGUAAAGCGCGUGUAGGCGGUUCGGUAAGUCCGCUGUGAAAGUCGGGGGCUCAACCCUCGGAUGCCGGUGGAUACUGUCGAGCUUGAGUACGGAAGAGGCGAGUGGAAUUCCUGGUGUAGCGGUGAAAUGCGCAGAUAUCAGGAGGAACACCAAUGGCGAAGGCAGUUCUCUGGGCCGUAACUGACGCUGAGGAGCGAAAGCGUGGGGAGCGAACAGG
RNAcentral lists this ribosomal RNA (253 nucleotides) under uncultured bacterium. RNAcentral describes it as "partial 16S ribosomal RNA". It matches the Rfam family "Bacterial small subunit ribosomal RNA", at positions 524 to 776 of the family's 1533-position model. The record is from RNAcentral.